This 879-nucleotide long non-coding RNA is filed under the name Ananas comosus (pineapple). Its description in RNAcentral is "long non-coding RNA (ACOM_LNC035943)". The record is from RNAcentral. Lineage: Eukaryota; Viridiplantae; Streptophyta; Magnoliopsida; Poales; Bromeliaceae.
ACACUAUUCAUCCAGGCAACUUAAAAUCUGAUAACUUUCGCCGGAGCUCCCUGAAUGUCCGUUUGAGCUUAAACUCGACAGUCAUGUUCGGUUUUACUUAACUUAACAAACUAACGAUCACUGGCUCAGUUUCGACUCCGUUUGGUCACCGAAAACUGUGCCGAACUGCAAUCUUUAUCAGAUAGCUUUCGGAUUUUAUUUCUCACUCUACGGGUGUCAGAAAAAUAUGAAACCUUAAAUCUAGCCUCAUAAGAAUAUUUCUGACUUAUCCUCCAAUUUUCAUAAUUUUCUGAGACUGUGCAUUUUCUGCUAAUUUAUCUGUCCCAUUUCCAACAGAAAAUUCUAGAUCUUCUGUUUUCGCUCCGAUUUCAGCACCGGUCAUUUCUAACUCAUAUUUCGCUUCUCCAAAUCCAAUAAAAAUAGUAUCUCAUACUAUUUUUAUUUAUUCCUAUUUUUAUAUCUAGAAUCCGGUAUGUCACAUUCCACCGCAACCUUACCGGAACCAUUCAAAUGGCUCUCCAACCAAAUGGACACCGCAACCUCAUGAUUUUAGAAGUCCGGUACCUUACAUUCGCACCCCAGUAGGAGGUUUUGGUGGCACCACCUGUGCAGAGGCCCCCGGUUGGAGCAGCUUUCCCUACUUUGGUUGAGGGGGCGGAGCGAGAUAGACUGAUGGAGCGCCUCAAUGAGUUCAGGAGGUGCAGUCCCCGAGUCUUUGACGGCGAGAAGGUCGACCACUGGAUCGCGGUAAGGGCAUAGCGCCCUAGCUCUUGGUAGAUAGCUUACUUUACCUACUUGCAUUAGAUCACCUUGCUUAUGUUUUGAGAGUAGAUGUUGUAUAGGGUGAGGUUUUGGAGAGCAUUGAUGUAUCUACAUUUU